CGGUAGCAGGAAGAGCUUGCUCUUUGCUGACGAGUGGCGGACGGGUGAGUAAUGCUUAGGAAUUUGCCUUUUGGAGGGGGACAACAGUUGGAAACGACUGCUAAUACCGCAUAAUACCUGAGGGUCAAAGGGGGCUUUUAGCUCUCGCCAAAAGAGAAGCCUAAGUGAGAUUAGCUAGUUGGUAGGGUAAAGGCCUACCAAGGCGACGAUCUCUAGCUGUUCUGAGAGGAAGAUCAGCCACACUGGGACUGAGACACGGCCCAGACUCCUACGGGAGGCAGCAGUGGGGAAUAUUGCACAAUGGGGGAAACCCUGAUGCAGCCAUGCCGCGUGUGUGAAGAAGGCCUUCGGGUUGUAAAGCACUUUCAGUGGUGAGGAAAGGUUGGUAGUUAAUACCUGCCAGCUGUGACGUUAACCACAGAAGAAGCACCGGCUAACUCCGUGCCAGCAGCCGCGGUAAUACGGAGGGUGCGAGCGUUAAUCGGAAUUACUGGGCGUAAAGCGCACGCAGGCGGUUUGUUAAGCUAGAUGUGAAAGCCCCGGGCUCAACCUGGGAGAGUCAUUUAGAACUGGCAAACUAGAGUCGUUUAGAGGGGGGUGGAAUUCCAGG
This 610-nucleotide ribosomal RNA is filed under the name Marisediminitalea lipolytica. Its description in RNAcentral is "bacterial SSU rRNA". It matches the Rfam family "Bacterial small subunit ribosomal RNA", at positions 67 to 673 of the family's 1533-position model. Lineage: Bacteria; Pseudomonadati; Pseudomonadota; Gammaproteobacteria; Alteromonadales; Alteromonadaceae. The record is from RNAcentral.